This 454-nucleotide ribosomal RNA is filed under the name uncultured bacterium. RNAcentral describes it as "bacterial SSU rRNA". It matches the Rfam family "Bacterial small subunit ribosomal RNA", at positions 28 to 478 of the family's 1533-position model. The record is from RNAcentral.
GACGAACGCUGGCGGCGUGCCUAAUACAUGCAAGUCGAGCGAAGUUUUUCUGGUGCUUGCACCGGAAAAACUUAGCGGCGAACGGGUGAGUAACACGUAAAGAACCUGCCUCAUAGACUGGGACAACUAUUGGAAACGAUAGCUAAUACCGGAUAACAGCAUUAACUGCAUGGUUGAUGUUUAAAAGUUGGUUAUGCUAACACUAUGAGAUGGCUUUGCGGUGCAUUAGCUAGUUGGUGGGGUAAAGGCCUACCAAGGCGACGAUGCAUAGCCGACCUGAGAGGGUGAUCGGCCACACUGGGACUGAGACACGGCCCAGACUCCUACGGGAGGCAGCAGUAGGGAAUCUUCCGCAAUGGGCGAAAGCCUGACGGAGCAACGCCGCGUGAGUGAAGAAGGAUUUCGGUUCGUAAAGCUCUGUUGUUAGGGAAGAAUGAUUGUGUAGUAACUAUAC